This 576-nucleotide long non-coding RNA is filed under the name Zostera marina. RNAcentral describes it as "long non-coding RNA (ZMAR_LNC005065)". Lineage: Eukaryota; Viridiplantae; Streptophyta; Magnoliopsida; Alismatales; Zosteraceae. The record is from RNAcentral.
AAUGACCAGAUAACUGGAUAUAUAUUUGAUAAGUAAAUGCUUGAACAAAUAUCUGAAUAAAGAUUUAAUGCAAUGAUUAUAACCUCAGAUAGUUGAUCAGAUAACUGGAUGAGGGAUCUGCGUAAAGUAGUCAACCUCUGUAUUCGACCAGAUAACUGGAAGAGGGAUCCUUUUCAAUUAAGUGUUGUUUAGUUGUUUUUAGAUGAAAGAUAAAAACUAAAGUUAACAAAGAACAACACAAGAGAAUUUAUACUGGUUCACCCAAACAAGGGCUAAUCCAGUCCCGACCAACUGUCGGAAUUCACUAGCCUAAAGAUAAUGGCAAAACCUUAGAGUAUCAAGGAAACUCUUAAAAACCUCUCUAUGCUUUAAGGCUAACUUCGCUUAGGAACCAGUCUUUUACGGGUAGACUCAUCCCUUAGAGUAUCAAGGGCACUCUUAAGAACCUCUCUAAGCUUUAAGGCUAACUUUGCUUAGGAACCAGUCUUUUACGGGUAGACUCACACCUUAGAGUGUCAAGGGCACUCUUAAAAACCUCUCUAAGCUUUAAGGCUAACUUCGCUUAGGAACCCGUCU